CGGGCAAGAGCUGGCGUUUUACGAAUGCAACUACAUCUUUGCAGUAAAAUGUGUGUCUUUCCGACAGAAUUGUCCAUCUGUUGGUGACCGGGUCUUCAUCAGAAGCUCUGCACCCUCCCUGAGCAAUAGAAAUAGAUGACGCUGGGGGAAGGAGGGCAAGCUAAAGGCAAAGCCCUUCCUGCUCUUGUUUUGGUUGCUUUUCUUUUAAAGCACAGUUGAACACACACACACACACACGCACACACGCACACACACACCCCUUAGAAUAAUGGGGGAGGCAUUUAGCGACAGGCUGCAUCCGCGAAGCCGCGCGGCGGCGACGAGCAGCCAGCCCCGCUCGCUAGCUCGCUCGCAGCUCAACUCAGUCUCCACGGCGGCGGCGGCGGCGGCGGCGGCGGCGGCGCGGACCGAAACUCGCCCCCGACCCGAGAUGCCCAACUCCACAGCGUGCCGAAGGUCGCCUCUCCAGUCUCGCUACAGUGCGCAGGUCGUCGCGGUUUUCGCUUGGGUUUUCAAACAAGUUUCGGGCAGAAAGAAGGAGGCAAAAAAAAAAAAAUCCAAUUAUGCAAAUGGACUCCAGACUGGGAGGCGCGCGUUGGAUCUGACGCCGCUACUGUACGAGUCCUCGGAGCAGCCCCGGGCCGGCCAGAUUUAUGGGGGCGCGUCACGGCUACGCCAGGUCCCGCCGCUGGAGCAUCUCGAAGUUAAUUAAAGCGAUAAUGUCCACUUUCCUGGCGACCCUCCGUGUGUGGGUUUACUAUUUCGCCGUCAAACGCGACCCGGUCGGGUGCGGGGGCCUCUCCCUACUCCUUGCCUCCUUCCCUCUUCUUGUCCCCCCCUUUCCCCUCUCAUGCUCUCCCUUCUUUUUCCGCUCUUUCGUCUUUUUAAGUCGCCUGCCUUCCACUCAGUGAACAAUGAACAAAGAUGUGAGUGAUGGGAAAAGAUCGCCCCCUCCCAACCCCAGCGGUGAGCAAAGCCGGUCUUAAAGUAAAAAUCCAGUCGCUAAUAACAAACUGGGAAAGAAAACUGCGUUCCCAGCCUAGCCUCCCCCUCCACACACAGACACACGCACAUACACGCGCGCGCACACAUACCCCACCCCAAGUUCACCUAAGCCCUAGCCGGGGACGGGGCGCCAAGGCCUGGGCGCGUGGAGCUGCCCAACUCGCGGGGGACCCAG
This 1180-nucleotide long non-coding RNA is filed under the name Heterocephalus glaber (naked mole-rat). RNAcentral's name for it is "lncRNA (ENSHGLG00100026925.2)". The record is from RNAcentral. Lineage: Eukaryota; Metazoa; Chordata; Mammalia; Rodentia; Bathyergidae.